AUUGAACGCUGGCGGCAUGCCUUACACAUGCAAGUCGAACGGUAACGCGGGGCAACCUGGCGACGAGUGGCGAACGGGUGAGUAAAGUAUCGGAACGUGCCCAAUAGUGGGGGAUAGCCCGGCGAAAGCCGGAUUAAUACCGCAUGAGACCUGAGGGUGAAAGCGGGGGACUCGCAAGAGCCUCGCGCUAAUGGAGCGGCCGAUAUCAGAUUAGGUAGUUGGUGGGGUAAAGGCCUACCAAGCCGACGAUCUGUAGCUGGUCUGAGAGGACGACCAGCCACACUGGGACUGAGACACGGCCCAGACUCCUACGGGAGGCAGCAGUGGGGAAUUUUGGACAAUGGGCGCAAGCCUGAUCCAGCCAUGCCGCGUGCGGGAAGAAGGCCUUCGGGUUGUAAACCGCUUUUGUCAGGGAAGAAAUCCUCUGGGUUAAUACCUCGGGGGGAUGACGGUACCUGAAGAAUAAGCACCGGCUAACUACGUGCCAGCAGCCGCGGUAAUACGUAGGGUGCGAGCGUUAAUCGGAAUUACUGGGCGUAAAGCGUGCGCAGGCGGUCUUGCAAGACAGGUGUGAAAUCCCCGGGCUUAACCUGGGAACUGCACUUGUGACUGCAAGGCUGGAGUACGGCAGA
This 632-nucleotide ribosomal RNA is filed under the name uncultured Comamonadaceae bacterium. Its description in RNAcentral is "bacterial SSU rRNA". It matches the Rfam family "Bacterial small subunit ribosomal RNA", at positions 28 to 655 of the family's 1533-position model. The record is from RNAcentral. Lineage: Bacteria; Pseudomonadati; Pseudomonadota; Betaproteobacteria; Burkholderiales; Comamonadaceae.